GUUGUAUGGUUAAGUGACUAAGCGUACACGGUGGAUGCCUGGGCAGUCAGAGGCGAUGAAGGACGUACUAACUUGCGAUAAGCGCAGAUAAGGCAGUAAGAGCCGUUUGAGUCUGCGAUUUCCGAAUGGGGAAACCCAACUGCAUAAGCAGUUACUGUUAACUGAAUACAUAGGUUAACAGAGCAAACCGGGGGAACGUGAAACAUCUAAGUACCCCGAGGAGAAGAAAUCAACCGAGAUUCCGGUAGUAGCGGCGAGCGAACCUGGAUUAGCCCUUAAGCACUCGGUGAAGUAGGUGAACAAGCUGGAAAGCUUGGCGAUACAGGGUGAUAGCCCCGUAACCGACGCUUCAUCGAGCGUGAAAUCGAGUAGGGCGGGACACGUGAUAUCCUGUCUGAAUAUGGGGGGACCAUCCUCCAAGGCUAAAUACUCCUGACUGACCGAUAGUGAACCAGUACCGUGAGGGAAAGGACGAAAAGAACCCCUGUGAGGGGAGUGAAAUAGAACCUGAAACCGUGUACGUACAAGCAGUAGGAGCACCUUCGUGGUGUGACUGCGUACCUUUUGUAUAAUGGGUCAGCGACUUAUAUUCAGUGGCAAGGUUAACCGUAUAGGGGAGCCGUAGCGAAAGCGAGUCUUAACUGGGCGCUCAGUCUCUGGAUAUAGACCCGAAACCGGGUGAUCUAGCCAUGGGCAGGUUGAAGGUUGAGUAACAUCAACUGGAGGACCGAACCGACUUAAUGUUGAAAAAUUAGCGGAUGGACUUGUGGCUAGGGGUAAAAGGUCCAAUCAAACUCGGAGAUAGCUGGUUCUCCCCGAAAGCUAUUUAGGUAGCGCCUCGGACGAAUACUACUGGGGGUAGAGCACUGUUAAGGCUAGGGGGUCAUCCCGACUUACCAACCCUUUGCAAACUCCGAAUACCAGUAAGUACUAUCCGGGAGACACACGGCGGGUGCUAACGUCCGUCGUGGAGAGGGAAACAACCCAGACCGCCAGCUAAGGUCCCAAAGUAUUGCUAAGUGGGAAACGAUGUGGGAAGGCUCAGACAGCUAGGAUGUUGGCUUAGAAGCAGCCAUCAUUUAAAGAAAGCGUAAUAGCUCACUAGUCGAGUCGGCCUGCGCGGAAGAUGUAACGGGGCUAAGCAAUACACCGAAGCUGCGGCAAUGAAGUUUACUUCAUUGGGUAGGGGAGCGUUCUGUAAGCCGUUGAAGGUGAAUCGUAAGGUUUGCUGGAGGUAUCAGAAGUGCGAAUGCUGACAUGAGUAACGACAAGGGGGGUGAAAAACCUCCCCGCCGGAAGACCAAGGGUUCCAGUCCAACGUUAAUCGGGGCAGGGUGAGUCGACCCCUAAGGCGAGGCCGAAAGGCGUAGUCGAUGGGAAACGGGUUAAUAUUCCCGUAC
RNAcentral lists this ribosomal RNA (1400 nucleotides) under Vibrio metoecus. RNAcentral describes it as "bacterial LSU rRNA". It matches the Rfam family "Bacterial large subunit ribosomal RNA", at positions 1 to 1444 of the family's 2925-position model. Lineage: Bacteria; Pseudomonadati; Pseudomonadota; Gammaproteobacteria; Vibrionales; Vibrionaceae. The record is from RNAcentral.